Molecule: ribosomal RNA, 253 nt
Filed under: uncultured Kofleria sp.
Lineage: Bacteria; Pseudomonadati; Myxococcota; Haliangiales; Kofleriaceae
Description: partial 16S ribosomal RNA
Rfam family: Bacterial small subunit ribosomal RNA
Source: RNAcentral
UACGGAGGGUGCAAACGUUGCUCGGAAUCAUUGGGCGUAAAGCGCACGUAGGCGGCUCGACAUGUCGGGUGUGAAAUCCCUCGGCUUAACCGAGGAAGUGCAUUCGAAACUAUCGAGCUAGAGUACUGAAGAGGGUCUCGGAAUUCCCGGUGUAGAGGUGAAAUUCGUAGAUAUCGGGAGGAACACCAGUGGCGAAGGCGGAGGCCUGGGCAGAUACUGACGCUGAGGUGCGAAAGCGUGGGGAGCAAACAGG